ACUCUGGAUUUUGCAGCCAGUCUCGCUGCAUUCGGCCUUCAGCGCCUCCACCUGCUCCUCCUCCGGGCUCAGCCUGCUGCUGGUGCACGGCGCCUCCUGCGCAUGCACACAGGUCAGAGCCGCGCACACACCUGCAUACACAUUUGCCCAGGUGACCCGCCUCACCUUACACUCCUGGUAGUUGUCGGCCUCAACGCGAUUCUUCUCCGUCACCUUCUCCCAAUGGCUCCUAAUGUUCGCCAGGAUUUGGUCCAGACUGGUUUCGAUAGGAGCGUCCGGCUCGUCCACCUCACGUCCCUCCAUCUGGUGGUAGAGAGCGCGCACGUCCUGCAGGGAAUGAAGAGCUCAGCUCCUCAACCUCACACUCAGACCUGCAGGUUUCCUCGCUGACGUCUUCAUUCUCUGCUUCCCGAUUGGCUGACCAAAGCUGCUGAUGAAAGUUUGCGUUUUCACUUCUCAAAAACAUUGACCUCCUGUUGCUAAGUGAGGAGAACCCACAGGUAACCGCAGGCUGAUAAUCUACGAAGAGAGUCUAAACGUUUGGGCGGGCAUUUUUGAAUGUGAGUGCGGACCACGUUUUAUGCUGAUAUCCGUGCACAGUUUCAGAGAUGAAGCCCCCCAAUGCAGAAACACACACGAGUAAGGGUGGGCUACCUUUGAGGUCAUCGCUGUGAAGAUGUCAGGAGAUGAAGUGGAGUUGAUGAAGUUUGUGUAAUCCAUCUGUAAAACAAAAGCACAAACAUGUUUAGAUCUGCUCA
This is a non-coding RNA of Oryzias latipes (Japanese medaka), 758 nucleotides long. NCBI's taxonomy places the organism in Eukaryota, Metazoa, Chordata, Actinopteri, Beloniformes, Adrianichthyidae. The record is from RefSeq and is a predicted model, not a curated record.